AGAGAAGGAGGCCCUCCCCAUGGCUGGGGACAGUCACAGCAGCUGCAGACAGAUGAUGGGAGGGAGCAUUCUUUCCCUAACCCUAGAGGCGGGCGAGCAUUCACCAAGUGUUGUUGUUAAAGAAAAAAAGAAAGAAAAAGAAACCAGGAUUGUACCUGAGGUCAGGCAGACAGUGCUCAACUCAGCACUGGGAAGAUUGCUAGAAGCCUUGGGCCUAUCUAGGAAGACUGGGCCAACAUGCGAUCCCCUCUGCAAGGUGGAGGCCAUGCACCUGCCUCCUGCUCCUGAGCUCCGGUAUCCUCACUGUGACCCAGGCCCCACUGCAGCAAAGAGACACUGGGAAUUAGCCCUUCUGUCCCCUCCUUGCCAGAAGGUGAGGCAACACCCGGCCUGCUUCAGCUUGCCCCCCGUGGGCUGCACCCACUGUCCAACCAGUCCCAAUGAGAUGAACCAGGUACCAGCGAAGAGGGCAAGAACACAGCACUACUUCCUUGGAUACUGUUUCCCUCCUCAGAGGGGUUUUCUGAGCUGCCCUGGGUCCUGUGAGGAAGAUCUCCCCUUCCUGUAAAGACACCAGUCCUACUGGAUCAGGGCCCACCCGUGUGACUUCACUUUUACUUGAGUACCUCUCACAGACCCUAACUCCAAAUCAGGUCACUUGCUGAGGUACUGCAUGUGAAGACUUUGACAUUUGAAUUUUGAGGGGGCCACCGUUUAACCUGAACCACCAAGGACAGAGCCAAAGACCCUGGGUGACAGGCCCAGAACAGGACCUGGUGGAGGCUCUUCUUUAGGGGAGAGAGGGAAAUGGGAGCCACCACUGGCAGAGCCUGAAGGCAGGGCAGCCAGAAAGAAGCUGUGGGAGUCCCCACCAUGGAAGACCCUGCCGAGCAUCCUGUGUCUCCUGAAGCAGACCCUGACAUGAGGACUGGGGGCACGUGUUUAUUAAGGGCGAUCCCCGGAAGGAGGAGAUAACCAGGCAGAAGUCCUAGCAGAGUAUGCCCACGCUGGUUAGUGCUGCUGCAAAGAUGAGCCGAAGACCAUGAGAGACCUCCAGGUGGUCCUUCUGGGGAGAAGAAAUGGGUUUUGGCCCCAAAUCCUUCUGCUGCAUUUUUCCCCUAUCCCUGGGAAGCCAUGAGACCUCAAACCUGUGUUCCCAAGGAGGCGAGCUGCUGUUCCCAGGUGAUGAUAUGAUGUGCUUGGGGAAAGUAAGUGGCUGCCAGACAUGGCUGAGAGCUGUUGUCACUGCCGUCAAGUGCAUGUCUCCAAGCCAUAUCACACGGCGUCCCUCGAUGUGAGGCCACAUGGCAAGUGGGCCGUGGAUCUCCCUCUGCCCUUUGCAAGCACGUAAGACAGCAGAUUUUGCAGAUACCUUGUGGCGCAGGGGAAUUUCCUUUGGCCAGGUCUGAAGAAAUAAAGCAGCAGGCACCGAGAACAAAGCCAAGGCUUUCAAAAGACAAGGAGCCAAAAAACUUACUCAAAAUAAAAGUAGUUUUAAAAUGUC
Molecule: long non-coding RNA, 1504 nt
Organism: Homo sapiens (human)
Lineage: Eukaryota; Metazoa; Chordata; Mammalia; Primates; Hominidae
Source: Ensembl